This 466-nucleotide ribosomal RNA is filed under the name uncultured bacterium. RNAcentral describes it as "partial 16S ribosomal RNA". It matches the Rfam family "Bacterial small subunit ribosomal RNA", at positions 28 to 507 of the family's 1533-position model. The record is from RNAcentral.
GAUGAACGCUGGCGGCGUGCUUAACACAUGCAAGUCGAACGGUGAAGCCAAGCUUGCUUGGUGGAUCAGUGGCGAACGGGUGAGUAACACGUGAGCAACCUGCCCUGGACACUGGGCUAAGCGCUGGAAACGGCGUCUAAUACUGGAUAUGAGCCUCUUCCGCAUGGUGGGGGUUGGAAAGAUUUUUUGGUCUGGGAUGGGCUCGCGGCCUAUCAGCUCGUUGGUGGGGUAAUGGCUCACCAAGGCGUCGACGGGUAGCCGGCCUGAGAGGGUGACCGGCCACACUGGGACUGAGACACGGCCCAGACUCCUACGGGAGGCAGCAGGGGGGAAUAUUGCACAAUGGGCGGAAGCCAGAUGCAGCAACGCCGCGUGCGGGAUGACGGCCUUCGGGUUGGAAGCCUCUUUUAGCUGGGAAGAAGCGAAAGUGACGGUACCUGGAGAAAAAGCGCCGGCUAACUACGUG